GUGUCAGCAGCCGCGGUAAUACGGAGGGUGCAAGCGUUGCUCGGAAUCACUGGGCGUAAAGCGACCGCAGGCGGCCUGACAAGUCGGAUGUGAAAGCCCUGGGCUCAACUCAGGAAUUGCAUUCGAAACUGGCAGGCUCGAGUACGGGAGAGGGGGGUGGAAUUCCUGGUGUAGGGGUGAAAUUCGUUGAUAUCAGGAGGAACACCGGCGGCGAAGGCGGCCCCCUGGCCCGCAACUGACGCUCAUGGUCGAAAGCGUGGGGAGCAAACAGGAUUAGAUACCCUCGUAGUCC
Molecule: ribosomal RNA, 292 nt
Filed under: uncultured bacterium
Lineage: Bacteria
Description: partial 16S ribosomal RNA
Rfam family: Bacterial small subunit ribosomal RNA
Source: RNAcentral